GAUGAACGCUAGCGACAGGCUUAACACAUGCAAGUCGAGGGGCAGCAUGAUUUGUAGCAAUACAGAUUGAUGGCGACCGGCGCACGGGUGAGUAACGCGUAUGCAACUUACCUAUCAGAGGGGGAUAGCCCGGCGAAAGUCGGAUUAAUACCCCAUAAAACAGGGGUCCCGCAUGGGAAUAUUUGUUAAAGAUUCAUCGCUGAUAGAUAGGCAUGCGUUCCAUUAGGCAGUUGGCGGGGUAACGGCCCACCAAACCGACGAUGGAUAGGGGUUCUGAGAGGAAGGUCCCCCACAUUGGUACUGAGACACGGACCAAACUCCUACGGGAGGCAGCAGUGAGGAAUAUUGGUCAAUGGCCGAGAGGCUGAACCAGCCAAGUCGCGUGAAGGAAGAAGGAUCUAUGGUUUGUAAACUUCUUUUAUAGGGGAAUAAAGUGGAGGACGUGUCCUUU
This 451-nucleotide ribosomal RNA is filed under the name uncultured bacterium. Its description in RNAcentral is "bacterial SSU rRNA". It matches the Rfam family "Bacterial small subunit ribosomal RNA", at positions 28 to 470 of the family's 1533-position model. The record is from RNAcentral.